CCGGCCUUCUGUUCCUAACACUGUGCUUUCUGCGCGACAAAAUAUAUGAGCGAAUCACAAGUGCAACAUCCGAAAUGAAGAAUCGAAAUCUGCUCUAAAUUCCUGAUACAGAAUAUCUUAAAGAUUCUCCCACGAGUCUGCAGAUGAGUCUAUAUGGUCACUAUAGGCGGAUACGGAUAAAUCGUGACAACCGCGCCAGAAUGUACACGAUAUUAGAAGGUGCGUCUUAUAGGGUGAAAAAUACAGUAACUAUCAUCUAAACAGCAUGCUACAGGCACUGCAGUAGUCACAGGUAGCUCUAUCUGACAAUCCAAAUAUCUGAGGAAAUCAAGAAACCGUCCAGAAUGUCAGACACGGAGGACGGACUCAGGCCAUCCACGUAUAGACAGACGCUCAUCUGAAUGACCAUCAUGUAAUACCACAUAUGCCCUGUAGUGGUCGCUGCAGUGGAAAUGCAUGACUGGCAGCUACCUCCCACGGCAAAAUCAUGGGGAAAAUCAUGGGGAAUGCCAGGAGUUGGACCUGUAGUAAUUAGUCCAUUGCCACAGCACCUAUAAUCUAAAAAGUGGUCGC
This is a long non-coding RNA of Bufo gargarizans (Asiatic toad), 573 nucleotides long. RefSeq lists it as uncharacterized. The record is from RefSeq and is a predicted model, not a curated record. Lineage: Eukaryota; Metazoa; Chordata; Amphibia; Anura; Bufonidae. The transcript is spliced from 3 exons.